UAAUUGAAGCCAAAAUAGAGGCUUUUCAUUGUUAAUGAAAUUAUUGAUUUUUAAAUCCAAUUAAAA
Molecule: transfer RNA, 66 nt
Filed under: Anoplocnemis curvipes
Lineage: Eukaryota; Metazoa; Arthropoda; Insecta; Hemiptera; Coreidae
Description: tRNA-Asn
Source: RNAcentral